UGGGCUAUGUAAUCAUCGUAUUGGCGAGACGAUGGUGCAAGGUAUGAUUUAUUUAUGAUUUUGAUUUUUGCAUGAAUAUUGGAGCGUAAUCCAGACAUAAAAGUAUAAAAUUAUCUAACACCACACGCACAACACUAUAGGAUGACAAAUAUUACACAAAUUAACAUGCAUGUGAAUUUAUAUUUAUGGAAUAGUUUUAGAUCAUCCAUACAAGUAAAAAUAUGUUUUAUAUUUUCUGUACGCAAAUAAAUGAUCAUGAUUUCUACCAUAAUUUUGAAUAUUCCCUUUUCUGUGUACCAAAUAUCUUUAGUGGA
RNAcentral lists this long non-coding RNA (314 nucleotides) under Elaeis guineensis (African oil palm). RNAcentral describes it as "long non-coding RNA (EGUI_LNC026225)". The record is from RNAcentral. Lineage: Eukaryota; Viridiplantae; Streptophyta; Magnoliopsida; Arecales; Arecaceae.